Molecule: transfer RNA, 77 nt
Filed under: Actinomycetota bacterium
Lineage: Bacteria; Bacillati; Actinomycetota
Description: tRNA-Leu
Rfam family: tRNA
About the family: Transfer RNA (tRNA) molecules are approximately 80 nucleotides in length. Their secondary structure includes four short double-helical elements and three loops (D, anti-codon, and T loops).
Source: RNAcentral
GCCGCCCUAGCCCAACUGGCAGAGGCGCGCCCUUGAGGUGGGCGAGGUUCGGGGUUCGAAUCCCCGGGGCGGCACCA